GGGGGUGUAAAAGGAUUUGACAAGGUUUCGAAAAAUUUUGAGAGCAGGCAGAGGCAAGGACCUCUUUAAAACCGAAAGAUUGCCAACACAAAUUUUGUUCCAGCUUUAGCAUAAAAAAUUAAAGCUGGCAUUUCUCUUUCGAUUCUCGCUAAGAAAGGGAAGUGUCAUAAUAAGCGAGAAAGUUCAUUAAAAAUUUUUUCAUUCUAUUUUAUGGAAGAGAAGGUUGUCAAUGGCCUUCUGUUCCGAGAAAUAAACAUUGACUAAGCCUGUAGAACUCAAACUUGAGUAGAAACCUUGGACCCGGGUUCGAAUCCCGGCACCUCCAAAA
RNAcentral lists this transfer-messenger RNA (328 nucleotides) under Candidatus Parcubacteria bacterium. It matches the Rfam family "transfer-messenger RNA". From Rfam's summary of the family: Bacterial tmRNA, also known as 10Sa RNA or SsrA, is named for its dual tRNA and mRNA-like properties. Its role is to liberate the mRNA from a stalled ribosome. Lineage: Bacteria; Candidatus Parcubacteria. The record is from RNAcentral. RNAcentral also lists the same sequence under 1 other name.